GUCUCAGCUCGAGCAUUCCUAGCGCCAACACGCCCUCAGGUAAAGGUGGAAGUAAAUGGCCACGCUGUAUUGACAGAGACAGGGACUGAGAAACGGAAAUACUACCAUCCUCCAGCCAAUCUGUUGGGAGGACUGCUUGCAGAGGACUCGUGCUCCAGAUGUUGCACUAGAGGCGCUGCAAGUGUGAGCAGCAGGUAGAUGAAACUCAAGAGAAAAGGUGUGGAUAAAUGAAACUAGCCCAUGAUGAACCUGUUUUCUCCGUGACCACAAUAUUAACCAGGAUGAAUGGCGGUGGCAGUGGGCCUGCAUCACAGGUUGCAGCAGAUGUUCUCAAUAUUUCUAUUAAAAUUUCCUUAUUUCCAUAUGCAAGAGGAGCCCCAGAGCUGCAUCCUUAUGGUAGCUACCAUGCCGUGAUGUAAGCUGCCAUUCACUGGGGAGCUUUGGCAAUAGAAUUGGCUAGAUCAGGAAGCCUAUGUCAACUAUGGAACAACAACUUGCAGCUCAUCUCUAUUGAUGAUACACUGCCUCUAGGACUGGGACAGAUAGCCACUGAGUACCUGCUUCAAAUCACCCUGCACGUUUUCUCUUUGGAAAGAUAAGCACUGGAGAACCAUCUCGUUACCUUCAGCAGAAAUGGAAACAAAUCAAGACAUUAAGAAUGCCGCAGUGGACAGCAGUUAUGCAAGGUUCAGCAGAGGAAGUUUUCAAGAUGGUGUGCCUCACUAGCCAGAAAUCAGAAAAGAUCGAAGCUAGCCUUUUCAUCUCAGCUGCUCCUUAAAUCAGUGCAACCCCUCCAAAUUAAUGUGAAUUGAAACUUGCAUUGCUUUUCAACUUAAUUGAAUACUUACUAUAUGUGAACCACUGCACAAAAUAGGGGAAGAAGAUGUGGGAGACAAAGAUGUGGAGCCUGUCUUCAAUAAAUUUACAGUUAGUUUCAGGGUACAUUGUUUUUCUUCUGCUGUUAAUUAGGUGUAUCCCCAAGACAAUAAAUACAUGAAUGGAAAAGUAUAUUCUGUGUUUUAAGUCUCUUUAAUAAAAAACAAAACAAAAUCCAAAAAAACUCCUAACAUGGCAACUCAGGACAUUUUAAUCCUUUUUUUUGUUGUUGGGCUUCUGAUAGGAUCCAUUUUAUUGAUUCCAUAAAUAUUUAGUAGACUUUAGACAUAUUAAUACAUUGUAGUUUGAGUUAAUUUGCAUUAAAUUCUGUUUUUUUCCCCUUAGGUAUAGAUUGUCUGUUGGAAAAAUAUAUUGCUUGUGGAUUUCUUGGGGAGUGGGAAGGUGAAUUAUACCUGUUGUCUCUACAGUCCACUACCUUCCACACCCUAGGGCAGUGGUCCCCAACCUUCUUGGCACCAGGGAUCAGUUUCCUGGAAGACAAUUUUUCUGUGGAUGGUGUGGGGAUGGUUUUGGGAUGGAACUGUUCCACCUCAGAUCAUCAGGCAUUAGUUAGGCUCUCAUAACGAGUGCGCAGCCUAGAUCCCUCACAUGCACAGUUCACAGUAGGGUUUGCGCUGCUAUGAGAAUCUAAGGCUGCCACUGAUCUGACAGGAGGCAGAACUCAGGUGGCAAUGCUUACUGGCCCACUGCUCACCUCUUGCUGUGCGGCCUGGUUCCUAAUAGGCCAUGGACCCCCACAGACGGGUACUAGUCUGCAGCCUGUGGACCCCAGCCCUAGGGGCCUGCCAUUCUGAGUGAGUUAUUAGCAUGAAGAAGAGGAAGAUCUGGAUCAAACGUGGGUGAUGGUACUCAGAGACCCAAGAUAGGAUAGGGAUGGAACAAAAUCCAUCUGGGCAACGGCUCUAUGAAAAUUUGGCUAAGUAAUUAUUUCAGUAUUCAUUGUAUUCAUUGUCCUUCGUGUUCCAUAAGUUAAAUGACUGUCUAAUUUUUCCAAAAAUUUAUUUCUGACUUGAGAAUAAGUGUGUCAUGAUUUUCCCAGUGUAAAGACACUGAUAUAACUGUAGAUACCAGACAUUUUAUGUAGUGUCUAUGACACAUUUUAGUAUGUAUGAGCCAACAAUAGACAUGUCUUUGUCUUGAGGAGUGUCCAUCUGAAUUGAAAAUGUGUCAGCUUUUUUUUAACAUCAUCAACAGACUUCUUAAUUAAGCUGCCAAUACAUACUGCCAAUAGCACUGUGUGCUGUCUGAGAAAUGCAUUGUGUAAGUGCUAUUUCCAUCUUAUUAAAUAAACAAUGUUGCUCUGUAUAAACUGGAUUUAAAGUGUUCUUUGAAUGAGGCAUUAUAUUGCUCCAUAAAUAAUGUGAUGUGAAUUCUCAUAUGAUCCCUUUUAACUUAAUUUCUAAAAAAAUAUUAUUUGCUCCUCAGUAAGGAAUAGCUCUAAUUGGACUGGUAACUUUAGUGAUAUGAUUUGUCUGUAACAGGCUGAAUCGCCCCACUCCCAAACUCCUGGUCGUGAUACUGGAUAUUUGUUAUGCCACUUUUAGUUUGCAUGAGGUAUCUUCCAGGAAGUAUUAGUUAUUAACUUGUGUUCUACUAAACUGUAGAUAUUUAUUUCCUGUUCUGGAAGAUUUCUUGGAGUGUCCAUCUGUGCAUUCCUGGUGCCUAGUGUAGUCUUGCUAAUGGAAUAGCACCUUUAUUGGUGCUACUUAGGGGUUGGUAGCUUACAAUCAAUCUACUUGGAACGUAUCCAAAUAAACUGGAUAUUUUUAUACA
RNAcentral lists this long non-coding RNA (2670 nucleotides) under Homo sapiens (human). Its description in RNAcentral is "NR2F1 regulatory antisense RNA 1, transcript variant 21 (NR2F1-AS1)". Lineage: Eukaryota; Metazoa; Chordata; Mammalia; Primates; Hominidae. The record is from RNAcentral.